This 615-nucleotide ribosomal RNA is filed under the name uncultured Ascomycota. RNAcentral's name for it is "eukaryotic LSU rRNA". It matches the Rfam family "Eukaryotic large subunit ribosomal RNA", at positions 38 to 667 of the family's 3401-position model. Lineage: Eukaryota; Fungi; Ascomycota. The record is from RNAcentral.
GCAUAUCAAUAAGCGGAGGAAAAGAAACCAACAGGGAUUGCCUCAGUAACGGCGAGUGAAGCGGCAACAGCUCAAAUUUGAAAUCUGGCUCUUUCAGGGUCCGAGUUGUAAUUUGUAGAAGAUGCUUUGGGUGUGGCUCCGGUCUAAGUUCCUUGGAACAGGACGUCAUAGAGGGUGAGAAUCCCGUAUGUGACUGGCUGCCUUCGCCUAUGUAAAGCUCUUUCGACGAGUCGAGUUGUUUGGGAAUGCAGCUCAAAAUGGGUGGUAAAUUUCAUCUAAAGCUAAAUAUUGGCCAGAGACCGAUAGCGCACAAGUAGAGUGAUCGAAAGAUGAAAAGCACUUUGGAAAGAGAGUUAAACAGUACGUGAAAUUGUUGAAAGGGAAGCGCUUGCAACCAGACUUGCAUGCGGUUAAUCAUCUGGUGUUCUCACCGGUGCACUUGACCGUGUUCAGGCCAGCAUUGGUUCAGGUGGUGAGAUAAAGGCCUUGGGAAUGUAGCUUCUUUCGGGGAGUGUUAUAGCCCUCGGUGCAAUGUCGCCUACCUGGACCGAGGACCGCGCUUCGGCUAGGAUGCUGGCGUAAUGGUUGUAAGCGACCCGUCUUGAAACACGGACC